CGCGCUCGUGCGUCGAACUGUCGGACCGCGGCCUCCUCAGUUCAGGCCCGCGUGCACGAUGUGCCUAGCGGUCAAAGGUCGGGUUCCUGUGUUGUGUGCCCACCCAAGGGGAAAUCGGAUUGUUUCUGACCGACAUUCGCCCGAUGCCCGUUCAGGGCAUGAGGUGAACGCCGUGGCGCCUCUCGUGUUCCACCCGGGUCGCUCUGAUCGCGGUGGCUCAUGGGAGGAGGCCUGUGCUUCGGGAUGCGGAAGGCCUUGUACCGCCGAGGGAUUGCGUCCCUCGGUCGACGAAGACCGUCCUUAAAAACGAGAACGACCUACGGCUCCCGUUUCCGACCCAAGGUGGGGCGGGCGUCGAGGUCACGGAGGAAUGC
RNAcentral lists this unclassified non-coding RNA (374 nucleotides) under Plukenetia brachybotrya. RNAcentral's name for it is "partial external transcribed spacer". Lineage: Eukaryota; Viridiplantae; Streptophyta; Magnoliopsida; Malpighiales; Euphorbiaceae. The record is from RNAcentral.